This 444-nucleotide ribosomal RNA is filed under the name uncultured bacterium. Its description in RNAcentral is "partial 16S ribosomal RNA". It matches the Rfam family "Bacterial small subunit ribosomal RNA", at positions 43 to 523 of the family's 1533-position model. The record is from RNAcentral.
CAUGCCUUACACAUGCAAGUCGAACGCGAAAGUGUCUUCGGACAUCAGUAGAGUGGCAAACGGGUGAGUAACGCGUGGGAAUAUACCUUAUAGCACGGAAUAGCCUCGGGAAACUGGGAUUAAUACCGUAUACGCCCUCAGGGGGAAAGAUUUAUCGCUAUAAGAUUAGCCCGCGUCAGAUUAGCUAGUUGGUGGGGUAAUAGCCUACCAAGGCAACGAUCUGUAGCUGGUCUGAGAGGACGGUCAGCCACAUUGGGACUGAGACACGGCCCAAACUCCUACGGGAGGCAGCAGUGGGGAAUAUUGGUCAAUGGGCGCAAGCCUGAUCCAGCAAUGCCGCGUGAGUGAUGAAGGCCUUAGGGUUGUAAGCUCUUUAAGUGGGGAAGAUAAUGACGGUACCCACAGAAUAAGCACCGGCUAACUUCGUGCCAGCCGCCGCAGUAA